Long non-coding RNA from Wasmannia auropunctata (little fire ant), 1356 nucleotides. RefSeq lists it as uncharacterized. The transcript is spliced from 3 exons. NCBI's taxonomy places the organism in Eukaryota, Metazoa, Arthropoda, Insecta, Hymenoptera, Formicidae. The record is from RefSeq and is a predicted model, not a curated record.
UAACAAGUUUGAGAGUUUUACUGCUGCGUACUGUCUGCCAUAUACGCUUAUUUGUUGAGAAGCUGCGCCAGAUUUCCGAUAACGAACGCAUACCUUUCUAUUUACGUGUUUGAUGCAGAUGAUUCGUCCAACCAGAUUCUUUUGUUACCGUCGUGCACGACUUUUACUUUUGUUCUACGCAACAAGUGCGAUAUAAAGUUGGUAUAAAUACUCUUCGAAGAUCUAGAAUAGAUCAGUUGCGUUUACAUCGUACGACUUGCAUAAUCGACUUGCUUCCCAAGAAACGAAAAUAUUGAUAAAAUGAAGUUCGUUAUUUCCACUAUUUUUGUUAUUAUUGCUAUGGCUGUGAUUGUUUCUGAAGGAUGUAUUUAUACUACCAAUGUCAUUUGCUCAAGAGAAUUUGAAUGUUGCCGUGGAUUUGAAUGCCAAAGUACAAUUGUUGGUAGGCGUUGUAUUCCACGUAAUCAAGAUUACGUUUACGCAAAACAAUGGACGCGACUCGUAAACGAUUAUCAACUGCAAUAUAAACUAAGCCCAAUUUUCCUGGGUAUGGGAAAAUACCGGAAUAUCACUAAUUCGGAAUACUAAAGAGGCUCCCCUUUGUAUCUUAUCUAUAUGUUACAUUAACUUUUUUGUUCGUCUUCAUUAGAAAAUCGUUACAACGAUCUUACAGUCGUUCAAGAUAUUUACUGUAACUCACGAAAUAAAUAUAAAUAUAUAUCAUUUUUAUGCAUAUAAGAGCAUAUUUUUUUAUUUAUAAUUUCUUGAAAAUUAGAUAUAAAUUUGUUUUAUAAGACAUCAUAUGUAUAUCGAUCUCUAUUUGCUAGAACGUAUUUUUGCAUAUUUCUCUUAUUAACUUGUAAAAUAAGUUUGCCUAUUGUUUGCAUUUCACAUUUUUUCCUAAUUUAGAAAUUUGCGAUCAGUUUUUCUCAAUAUAAUAAUAAACAGGAUGGUACCUAAAAUUAAUUAGUAAUAAUCAAAACAGAUUUCGCGCCUGUAGCACAUUUAUUGUUCCGAUUGAUAAAGCAAUUGAUUAGAGAUUAGAUCAAAGAUUUUCAAAUACCGCGACGUACCGUUGCGCACCAAAAUGCUUACCUUAUAGCUUAUUUGCUAUUUUAAAAUUUAUGCAUUUAGAUAUUUAAUCACAUUUUAAUCAUGUGUAUUAAAUGAAUUGCUGAUGUUUCAAUUCUUAUUCCAAAAAUUCCGUUUUGAUUGAGGUCCGUCUUAUAUAAGAAAAGUUCUCUAAGACAUUCACACCCACUAUGUUCAUGCUAUUAAUGUUAUAUUAUUAUUAAUGCGCUCGCGUACGGCAGUGUGGCUUGUAAUAUUUUAACAAUAAAAAUUAUUACACAUCAA